This 451-nucleotide ribosomal RNA is filed under the name uncultured Ralstonia sp. RNAcentral describes it as "bacterial SSU rRNA". It matches the Rfam family "Bacterial small subunit ribosomal RNA", at positions 337 to 780 of the family's 1533-position model. The record is from RNAcentral. Lineage: Bacteria; Pseudomonadati; Pseudomonadota; Betaproteobacteria; Burkholderiales; Burkholderiaceae.
UCCUACGGGAGGCAGCAGUGGGGAAUUUUGGACAAUGGGCGAAAGCCUGAUCCAGCAAUGCCGCGUGUGUGAAGAAGGCCUUCGGGUUGUAAAGCACUUUUGUCCGGAAAGAAAUGGCUCUGGUUAAUACCUGGGGUCGAUGACGGUACCGGAAGAAUAAGGACCGGCUAACUACGUGCCAGCAGCCGCGGUAAUACGUAGGGUCCAAGCGUUAAUCGGAAUUACUGGGCGUAAAGCGUGCGCAGGCGGUUGUGCAAGACCGAUGUGAAAUCCCCGAGCUUAACUUGGGAAUUGCAUUGGUGACUGCACGGCUAGAGUGUGUCAGAGGGGGGUAGAAUUCCACGUGUAGCAGUGAAAUGCGUAGAGAUGUGGAAGAAUACCGAUGGCGAAGGCAGCCCCCUGGGAUAACACUGACGCUCAUGCACGAAAGCGUGGGGAGCAAACAGGAUUA